GAUGAACGCUGGCGGCGUGCCUAAUACAUGCAAGCCGAGCGAACGGACGAGAAGCUUGCUUCUCUGAUGUUAGCGGCGGACGGGUGAGUAACACGUGGAUAACCUACCUAUAAGACUGGGAUAACUUCGGGAAACCGGAGCUAAUACCGGAUAAUAUUUUGAACCGCAUGGUUCAAAAGUGAAAGACGGUCUUGCUGUCACUUAUAGAUGGAUCCGCGCUGCAUUAGCUAGUUGGUAAGGUAACGGCUUACCAAGGCAACGAUGCGUAGCCGACCUGAGAGGGUGAUCGGCCACACUGGAACUGAGACACGGUCCAGACUCCUACGGGAGGCAGCAGUAGGGAAUCUUCCGCAAUGGGCGAAAGCCUGACGGAGCAACGCCGCGUGAGUGAUGAAGGUCUUCGGAUCGUAAAACUCUGUUAUUAGGGAAGAACAUAUGUGUAAGUAACUGUGCACAUCUUGACGGUACCUAAUCAGAAAGCCACGGCUAACUACGUGCCAGCAGCCGCGGUAAUACGUAGGUGGCAAGCGUUAUCCGGAAUUAUUGGGCGUAAAGCGCGCGUAGGCGGUUUUUUAAGUCUGAUGUGAAAGCCCACGGCUCAACCGUGGAGGGUCAUUGGAAACUGGAAAACUUGAGUGCAGAAGAGGAAAGUGGAAUUCCAUGUGUAGCGGGUGAAAUGCGCAGAGAUAUGGAGGAACACCAGUGGCGAAGGCGACUUUCUGGUCUGUAACUGACGCUGAUGUGCGAAAGCGUGGGGAUCAAACAGGAUUAGAUACCCUGGUAGUCCACGCCGUAAACGAUGAGUGCUAAGUGUUAGGGGGUUUCCGCCCCUUAGUGCUGCAGCUAACGCAUUAAGCACUCCGCCUGGGGAGUACGACCGCAAGGUUGAAACUCAAAGGAAUUGACGGGGACCCGCACAAGCGGUGGAGCAUGUGGUUUAAUUCGAAGCAACGCGAAGAACCUUACCAAAUCUUGACAUCCUUUGACAACUCUAGAGAUAGAGCUUUCCCCUUCGGGGGACAAAGUGACAGGUGGUGCAUGGUUGUCGUCAGCUCGUGUCGUGAGAUGUUGGGUUAAGUCCCGCAACGAGCGCAACCCUUAAGCUUAGUUGCCAUCAUUAAGUUGGGCACUCUAAGUUGACUGCCGGUGACAAACCGGAGGAAGGUGGGGAUGACGUCAAAUCCUCAUGCCCCUUAUGAUUUGGGCUACACACGUGCUACAAUGGACAAUACAAAGGGCAGCGAAACCGUGAGGUCAAGCAAAUCCCAUAAAGUUGUUCUCAGUUCGGAUUGUAGUCUGCAACUCGACUACAUGAAGCUGGAAUCGCUAGUAAUCGUAGAUCAGCAUGCUACGGUGAAUACGUUCCCGGGUCU
RNAcentral lists this ribosomal RNA (1373 nucleotides) under uncultured bacterium. RNAcentral's name for it is "bacterial SSU rRNA". It matches the Rfam family "Bacterial small subunit ribosomal RNA", at positions 28 to 1381 of the family's 1533-position model. The record is from RNAcentral.